Molecule: non-coding RNA, 25 nt
Filed under: Cricetulus griseus (Chinese hamster)
Lineage: Eukaryota; Metazoa; Chordata; Mammalia; Rodentia; Cricetidae
Source: RNAcentral
GCCCCUGGAAGAAGAGGACUGCUUA